RNAcentral lists this long non-coding RNA (401 nucleotides) under Amborella trichopoda. RNAcentral describes it as "long non-coding RNA (ATRI_LNC002893)". Lineage: Eukaryota; Viridiplantae; Streptophyta; Magnoliopsida; Amborellales; Amborellaceae. The record is from RNAcentral.
GAAAGAUAAGAGGCAUGUGCAGAGCACGUAAAACGUAUAACAUGCAUAUGUGUGUGUGUGUGCGAGGGCGUGGGCACAAGGAUGCUUGAUGGCACACUUUGUACUUCAGGAUGCAAUGAUCAUCUACUUGUUGAUGAUAUCAGUGGGACAUCCAACAGUCAUCUACCUGUGUUGAUGAUAUAUGUGGGACAUCCAACAGUCAUCUAGCCGUUAAUGCAUGUGGGACAUCCAAUGAUUGUCUAGCCGUCAAUGAGAUUGAAGCUUGUAACUUGUAGCUAUUGGGGUGCAUGUAACUUGUAGUUGUUGGGUGGUGCAUGCAACCACCACCACAAUACUAAAUGGGCAGCCACUUGGUGCUCUAUAACGAGGGCCCUCCUACCCAUACGUUUUUAGACAGUUAG